RNAcentral lists this ribosomal RNA (504 nucleotides) under uncultured bacterium. Its description in RNAcentral is "partial 16S ribosomal RNA". It matches the Rfam family "Bacterial small subunit ribosomal RNA", at positions 29 to 523 of the family's 1533-position model. The record is from RNAcentral.
AUUGAACGCUGGCGGCACGCCUAACACAUGCAAGUCGAGCGGCAGCGAGACUAGUAGCAAUACUAGUUGUCGGCGAGCGGCGGACGGGUGAGGAACACGUAGGAACUUGCCCUUUAGAGGGGGAUAACCAAGGGAAACUUUGGCUAAUACCGCGUAAACUCGAAAGAGGAAAGCUGCCCGCAAGGGUGGCGCUAAAGGAGAGGCCUGCGUCUGAUUAGCUAGUUGGUGAGGUAAUGGCUUACCAAGGCGAUGAUCGGUAACUGGUCUGAGAGGACGACCAGGAACACUGGGACUGGGACACGGCCCAGACUCCUACGGGAGGCAGCAGUGGGGAAUAUUGGACAAUGGGGGCAACCCUGAUCCAGCGAUGCCGCGUGGGUGAAGAAGGCCUUCGGGUUGUAAAGCCCUUUAGGUUGGGAAGAAGUGAAUUGUAGGAUAAUGACAGUUCAUUGACGGUACCGACAGAAUAAGCACCGACAAACUCUGUGCCAGCCGCCGCCGUAA